Stegostoma tigrinum is the source of this 581-nucleotide long non-coding RNA. RefSeq lists it as uncharacterized. The transcript is spliced from 4 exons. The record is from RefSeq and is a predicted model, not a curated record. NCBI's taxonomy places the organism in Eukaryota, Metazoa, Chordata, Chondrichthyes, Orectolobiformes, Stegostomatidae.
CUAUAACUAUCUAGGUGUGACUGGUGUUCCUACUCCAUUGAGUUUCUAGCUUAUGUUACUGCUGAACAUCUUCUACCAGCUCAAGACUUUCAGGUCAUGUUGCAAAUGGACACGGACUGCUUCAUUACCUGAGGAGUCACAAUUGGUACUCAACAUUGUGCAAUCAUCAGCAAACAUUCCCACUUAUGACCUUAUGAAGGAGGAAACGUCAUUGAUGAAGCAGCUGCGGACGAAUGAGCUGAGUGCACUAUCCUGACAAACGCCUGCAGAGAUGUCCUGAGACUGACUUCUAUGAACUACAAAUAUAUUCCCUUGAGCCAGAAUUCUUCCCGCAUGAUAAUCCCUAAUCUCAUUACAAUGUCAAGGGAUGGAGACGGACAUACGGCUCACUCCUUUUAGUAACUGGCUGUAAAAAUCUACAUGCUGAAGUCUAGGAACAGACCUCCUCGAAGUUUCCUGGGAAAUACUUUCAGCCUGGGUGGAUGAACUGGGAAAAAAAAUGAAAAGAAGGCACAAGAAAGACUUCAAGGACAAGAUAAAUCAAUAUUGGGCAAACUAAACAACAUGCAACAGAUUCAGAG